RNAcentral lists this ribosomal RNA (443 nucleotides) under Ditylum brightwellii. RNAcentral's name for it is "partial Bacterial large subunit ribosomal RNA". It matches the Rfam family "Bacterial large subunit ribosomal RNA", at positions 986 to 1433 of the family's 2925-position model. The record is from RNAcentral. Lineage: Eukaryota; Bacillariophyta; Thalassiosirophyceae; Lithodesmiales; Lithodesmiaceae.
AGACUGCGAGUGAUAAGAUCCGUAGUCGAAAGGGAAACAGCCCAGACCACCAGCUAAGGUCCCAAAAUAAUUGUUAAGUGGAAAAGGAUGUGGGGUUGCACAGACAACUAGGAUGUUAGCUUAGAAGCAGCUAUUCAUUCAAAGAGUGCGUAAUAGCUCACUAGUCGAGUGACCCUGCGCCGAAAAUGUACCGGGGCUAAAACAAUUUACCGAAGCUGUGGAUACCUUUAUAGGUAUGGUAGGAGAGCGUUCUAUGUGUGAAGAAGGUGUACCGUGAGGAGUGCUGGAACGCAUAGAAGUGAGAAUGCCGGUAUGAGUAGCGAAAGACAGGUGAGAAUCCUGUCCACCGUAAGACUAAGGUUUCCAGGGGAAGGCUCGUCCGCCCUGGGUUAGUCGGGACCUAAGGAGAGACCGAAAGGUGUAUCCGAUGGACAACAGGUUGA